Molecule: ribosomal RNA, 498 nt
Filed under: uncultured bacterium
Lineage: Bacteria
Description: bacterial SSU rRNA
Rfam family: Bacterial small subunit ribosomal RNA
Source: RNAcentral
GGCUAACGCUGGCGGCGUGUCUUAGCCAUGCAAGUCGAGCGGACUUAUGGGGUAACUUAUAAGUCAGCGGCGGACGGCGGAGUAACACGUAGCUAACCUACCCUCUGGACGGGGAUAACCUACCGAAAGGUGGGCUAAUACCCGAUGUAGUCAUCCUGUAUAGGGGUGAUGAAAGGUGGGCUUCUGUUUACAAGCUCAUGCUGGAGGAGGGGGCUGCGGCCUAUCAGGUAGUUGGUAGGGUAAUAGCCUACCAAGCCGAUGACGGGUAGCCGGCCUGAGAGGGUGACCGGCCCGAGGGGCACUGAGAUACGGGUCCCACUCCUACGGGAGGCAGCAGGCUAGAAAUUUGGGCAAUGGGGGAAACCCUGACCCAGUGACGCCGCGUGCAGGAAGGAGCCCUUCGGGGUGUAAGCUGCUGUCGUGUAGGGAGAAGGGUACUAAGGUGAACAAUCUUAGUACUUGACGGUACUACAGGAGGAAGCCCAGGCUAACCUCGUG